AAGCGUCGUACGGAGGGAAUUAGGGUUUCGGUGUUUUUGGUUUGGGGAGGUAGUUUUAUAGUUAGAGUGUUGUUUUGUUUGUGUUUAGAAAGUGUUUGUUAGAUUGGGUUUUUUUUGGAGUUGUUUUGUUGUUUAGAGGUAGGUGGAUGUGUUGUGUGGGUUUUUUUUGGGUGUUUGGGUUUUUUAGUAGAGUUGUAGUGUAGGGGAAUUAGUUUAUGAUUAGUGAGUUUUGGGUAGUUAUUUUGGUUUUAGGUUUGGAGUUUAAUGUUUGGAAUGUGGGAGAGAAGAGGUUGGUUGUUGGUGGGUGUUUGUAAGGUUGUAUUGGGAAGGAUUGAGUGAGUUUUUAUAUUGGUGGAGUUUUAGUUUUGUGUUUAGGUGUGAUAGUAUAGAGUUUUGGUCGAGAGGUUGUUUUGUGUUGGGUGAGUUUUUUUAAGUUUUGUUUAGUUUUUAGCGUUCGCGUU
RNAcentral lists this unclassified non-coding RNA (461 nucleotides) under Hevea brasiliensis (rubber tree). The record is from RNAcentral. Lineage: Eukaryota; Viridiplantae; Streptophyta; Magnoliopsida; Malpighiales; Euphorbiaceae.